GAGACCAGAGUCUGUAGAAAUCCACCAGAAGACUGAGAAGCUGCCUGGUUCUUGUCUGCAGCCGUCAUGAAGCUUUACGGAGCUCUGAUCCUGAUCUUGAUGGUGUCCUCAGUGUGUGGAUUACAAUGCUACUACUGUAUAGGCUCCAGCCAUGCAUCCUGCACGAAUACUAUGUAUUGUAUAGGAACAUUAAACCAGUGUGCGUCCAUCAAAGCAGGCGGUAGGUUGAUCAUCUGCAGCAGACGUGAUUAAAACUGAUCAUGAGAUGAGUUGAUAAAUGUCUCUGAACUGAUUCUUGAUUUCAAUGUUACUGGAGCUGAGGUUUUUCCAUCAUGUCUUGUAGGUCUCGUCAGUAAAGGCUGUGUGACGGCAUGUGAAUCUUCUAUGAGUUGUUGUAACACGGACUUGUGCAACAGCGCAACACCAGCUGGUUCCAGCGUCCUCUUCCUCCUGGUGUCCUCGUCCAUCGUCACAGUCUUCCUCUGAAGGACACGAAGAAGAUUUGAUCUUUUCUCGAUGAUUAAACCUGUAAAAUCUGUCAAAGAAAACAGAUCUUUCAAUAAAAGCAGGAUGAUCAAUCA
Long non-coding RNA from Mugil cephalus (flathead mullet), 581 nucleotides. RefSeq lists it as uncharacterized. The transcript has 2 exons. Lineage: Eukaryota; Metazoa; Chordata; Actinopteri; Mugiliformes; Mugilidae. The record is from RefSeq and is a predicted model, not a curated record.